Molecule: ribosomal RNA, 422 nt
Filed under: uncultured Succinivibrio sp.
Lineage: Bacteria; Pseudomonadati; Pseudomonadota; Gammaproteobacteria; Aeromonadales; Succinivibrionaceae
Description: bacterial SSU rRNA
Rfam family: Bacterial small subunit ribosomal RNA
Source: RNAcentral
UGGGGAAUAUUGCACAAUGGGGGGAAACCCUGAUGCAGCGACGCCGCGUGAGCGAAGAAGUAUUUCGGUAUGUAAAGCUCUAUCAGCAGGGAAGAAAAUGACGUUACCCUCAGAAGAAGCACCGGCUAACUCCGUGCCAGCAGCCGCGGUAAUACGGAGGGUGCAAGCGUUAAUCGGAAUAACUGGGCGUAAAGGGCAUGCAGGCGGUUCAUCAAGUAGGAUGUGAAAUCCCCGGGCUCAACCUGGGAACAGCAUACUAAACUGGUGGACUAGAGUAUUGCAGGGGGAGACGGAAUUCCAGGUGUAGCGGUGGAAUGCGUAGAUAUCUGGAAGAACACCAAAGGCGAAGGCAGUCUCCUGGGCAAAUACUGACGCUCAUAUGCGAAAGCGUGGGUAGCAAACAGGAUUAGAUACCCUGGUAG